UCAGUGGAGACUCGGCUUUGGGAGGGAGAAAGAGGUGGGACCUAGCGCCGGCCGCGCAGGCGCACGGUGGGCAGCUGCAAUGGCGCUGUCGUGUACCCUUAACAGGUAUCUGCUCCUCAUGGCGCAGGAGCAUCUGGAGUUCCGCCUGCCGGAAAUAAAGUCUUUGCUUUCGCUUUUUGGAGGUCAGUUUGGCAGCAGUCAAGAAACUUAUGGAAAGUCACCAUUUUGGAUUCUUAGCAUUCCCUCUGAAGAUAUUGCAAGAAAUUUAAUGAAACGGACAGUGUGUGCCAAGUCUAUAUUUGAACUAUGGGGUCAUGGACAAUCUCCUGAGGAGCUGUACAGUUCUCUUAAGAAUUACCCUGUGGAGAAGAUGGUUCCAUUUCUACAUUCGGACUCUACAUAUAAAAUAAAGAUUCACACUUUUAAUAAGACAUUGACACAAGAAGAGAAAAUCAAGCGAAUAGAUGCACUUGAAUUUCUGCCAUUUGAAGGAAAAGUGAAUUUAAAGAAACCACAACAUGUAUUCUCUGUUUUGGAGGAUUAUGGUUUGGACCCAAACUGCAUCCCUGAGAAUCCACAUAAUAUUUAUUUUGGUAGAUGGAUUGCAGAUGGACAGAGAGAGCUUAUUGAGUCAUACAGUGUCAAAAAGAGACACUUUAUUGGAAAUACAAGUAUGGAUGCUGGUUUGUCAUUCAUUAUGGCUAACCAUGGAAAAGUGAAAGAAAACGAUAUUGUCUUUGAUCCAUUUGUUGGAACAGGUGGCCUGCUGAUAGCAUGUGCUCAUUUUGGUGCAUAUGUGUAUGGGACAGACAUAGACUACAACACAGUUCAUGGCUUGGGAAAGGCUACUAGGAAAAACCAGAAAUGGAGAGGACCAGAUGAAAACAUUAGGGCCAAUCUUCGUCAAUAUGGUUUAGAGAAGUAUUACCUUGAUGUCCUGGUUUCAGAUGCAUCUAAACCUUCCUGGAGGAAGGGCACAUAUUUUGAUGCAAUCAUUACUGAUCCUCCAUAUGGUAUCAGAGAAUCUACAAGAAGAACAGGUUCACAGAAGGAGAUACCAAAGGGGAUAGAAAAAUGGGAAAAAUGUCCAGAAAGCCAUGUUCCUGUUUCCUUGAGUUAUCAUCUGAGUGAUAUGUUUCUUGACCUGUUAAACUUCGCAGCUGAGACCCUCGUUUUAGGUGGAAGACUAGUCUAUUGGUUACCGGUGUAUACACCAGAAUACACUGAAGAGAUGGUGCCUUGGCACCCUUGCCUGGAACUCAUUAGCAACUGCGAGCAGAAGCUUUCCAGUCACACAUCAAGGCGCUUGAUCACAAUGGAAAAGGUGAAGAAAUUUGAGAAUCGGGACCAGUAUUCACAUCUGCUAAGUGAUCAUUUUCUGCCAUACCAAGGUCAUAAUUCCUUCCGUGAGAAAUAUUUCAGUGGGGUUACAAAAAGAAUUGCCAAGGAAGAAAAAUCCACCCAGGAAUGAAAAUUAAGAUUUUGACAAUGAAGAAAGAAUGAGAAUUUGAUUUAAAAAGACAUCUGGAUGUGAACUUUCAUAUAUGAUCCAGAAAAUAGAUGGUUACCUUGGUGGUGUUCAUCAGAGGUGCCUCCUUCCCGUCUAUUCUGGUGAGUACUUUUUGCUCUGAUAGCUGGGAGGGAAUAGUGGAGUAGGUGGUCUUUGUGUUUAGCCAAAGUGGCCAGCAGAUUUUGAAAAGUUUAAAAUCUGCUACAAUUUUCUCAGCCACUUCCUGCCCAGGGUGACCCAGUUUUGGGCUAGCUUGCCACUGACUUCCUUAUGACUAACUCUUUAAAUACAAGGAUUGAGCAGUAAAACAUUUUCAAACUGUUUAAGCUCUGGGAGGUAAGUCAGUAUUGCCACUAUUUCCUUGUUGAGAAAACUCACUCAAAUAUUGAGAUUCCCUACAUAUUUAAGAAGGAUGGCAAUUAUAAGUAAAAACAAAACAAAAAACAACAACAACCUUAUUUCAAGUUUUGUAGGGGAAAGUAGAGUAUGUGUUAACAUCACAGGAGGCAUUGUAGUGGGUGUGUUUAUUUUAUUGCGUUAAAAUUGUGCUUUAAAAGUUUGAGACAUGGAAAUAGUUUUUGAGGUAGUAUGUUUUAUACUCGUAAAUUAAAGAAGCAGGGAUUUGACUUUUUUUCAACACCAGGAAAUUAGACGUUGAGAUUGUGUUAUAUAGAUGCCAAUAUAAGCAACUCUGGCUCUUGAAUAAAAGUUCUUAGUCGUUUGGUGUUAGAAGAACUGCUGACAUCUUAUGCUGGAAAUAUUAUCAAAUAUUGCUUAUCCAAAGAGAUAUGGAAUAAAACAUAAUGUUUCUCUGUUGAAAACUGAAGGUGACUUUUUUGGGAAAUGAUCUUAUUUUCCAUCCCAUUGUAAUAAAUCUCCCUUGAAAAAGCACAGUGGAACUAGGCUCAUGUUAAUAGUUCUAAUAGGAAAAAAAUUCUUUGUAGAUAAAGCAAGGCAUAAAUAAACUCAUUAAUGCAUUGCAGUGGUGGAAAUGGAGGUGAGUGUUGCCAAGGCAAUUGAUGACCUUAUUGUUGACCUGCUUGACCAAAAGAUAAUAAAUUAUUCCAAAAUAAGAACCUUGGCUCUUUUUGCUGGGUUAUGGUUCUGUUCCAUUAUAAAGUUAUUUAGAAAACUAAACACUUGCAAGAAUCUUUGUUCUUAGAAGGACUGUAUUCAUAGAAUAAGUGAAAUCUACUUUGAUUUCCAACUUACCCACUCCCAUUUUUCUCAGAUAUUUAUCAAGUAAUGUGGUUUGUAAUCCAAACAAAAAAAAGUGCCUUAAUCCAGAACGUACACAUGGAGACAAUAACAGCAGACUGAUGGUGUUUGUACUUUACUAAAACAUUGAGAUCUUCUCUAAAACAGAGUGGUUUGAGAACAUAGUGUCUAGAGUGUAAAGAAUUAUAAUGGAAUGGUAAACAUACUGUGAUUCUAUCUGGUCAUAGAAUCAUAGAGACCAGCACAUUCCUGUCUAUCCUUUGGGGUGAAAAACUAGGGAACCUGACCCCUUUCCCUUAAAAGAGAUCUGCCUUACGAUGUUCAUAUGUUUCACUGUGUGGGAUAAGCAAGUUGACAUUUAGACAUAACUGAGGCCAACCUGGAAUUUGGCUCUUAGCCCUUCCUUUAUAAGCCCUUGUAGACAGUGCUCUUUGGGGGAUGGAGGUUUAACUGUAAUGACAGUCUUUUAAGCCUGGGUCAUGGAACAAAAUAGGGCUUGAUAGAUGAAUGUUAAGAUAAAUCAGCUUCCCUUAUGUAACUGCUAGCCCUAUUUCUUGUGAUAUUAAGAUGUGCUUAGUAUAUUUUUGUUUUAAAAUUUGAAAGUUCUUACUAAGAUAAUCAUGUUGCAGUCAUGCCAGACUGAAUUGCCUAAAAAGGAACCUGUUUUGACCUCUAUGACUUUAAAAAUCUCUCCUUUAAUCAAGCUUCCCUGGCUCUCUCCUGAGGAUUUAUCAGAAGAACUCUAUUUUGGCUAGCAUGCAGCAGUGAAGAUUAGCUGGGCUUAUGUGUGAAGUUAGUCAAAUUAAAAGGAAAAAGGCUGAGGAGAAAAUUAAAAUUGAAAAUGUAAAUGGUACUUAUGAUAUUGGAGUUGUGCUUUGAUGGACUGCCAAAGUAAUGUGUUGUAAGUUGGUGAAGUGGGUCAAUAUGGGCUGAGUUGUUAUUGGUGAGUUUUAAAAAUCUUUAAGAGUCCUUUAACAUUUGUGUAUAAAUCUUGGAGUAUCUCACCACAAGUUGGAGUGACUUCUGCACAAAGAGCAAAAUUGCCUUUGCAUUUUUCCAUUUUUCUACAUACCAAUUGAGAAGCAAUUCUCCAUAGAUCUCUUGCAUUUCUAUAUGUCUUUCUAAGAAAGGCACAGACUUCUUGUGUCCUGUACUGUGUUUUUGAGGAUAUUUGUAUAGUGAACAAUCUUGGAAGAUAUAGAGUCUUUCUCUCCCCUGUCUCCCCCUCGCUUUUAACUUCUGGAGCAGAGGUUUAAGUUUGUGUACAACCUUGGAAGAUAGUGUCUUCCCUUCAGAGUAAAGGCAUGCUUACUGCCCAUUAUAAAAGAUUGGGUUCCCUAAGCUUAAUAUUUCUUCUUUGUAAUACAGCCUACUGUAAGGCACCCAUCUGGGCCUAAUCUGGUCAUUCUUCUGAGACUUGGGUAUAAGGAAGAACUGAUUGUUAAAAUGCUGAUUAUCAGGCCAGGCACAGUGGCUCAUGCCUGUAAUCCCAGCACUUUGGGAGGCCGAGGCAGGUGGAUCACCUGAGGUCAGGAGUUUGAGAUCAGCCUGUCCAACAUGGUGAAACCCCAUCUCUACUAAAAAUACAAAAAUUACCCAGGCAUGGUAUGGUGCAUGCCUGUAAUCCCAGCUACUCUGGAGGCUGAGACAUGAGAAUUGCUUGAACCCGGGAGGUGGAGAUUGCAGUGAGCUGAGAUUACACCACUGCACUCCAGCCUGGGUGACAGAGCGAGACUCCAUCUCAAAAAAAAAAAAAAAAAAAAAAUUGCGGAUUAUCAUGCCCUGCUUAUUGUACCAUAAGUAAUAAAGUUCUUUGUAUGUGACCUAGGAGUAUGUCUUUUACCGGUUUCAAUGAAUAUGUCAGGUGCUUGCAAUAGAGCAAAAUCUCAGAUCCUUCACAGUUCUUGAUGGUUUUUGGUCAUGAGGAUGGGAUGCUGACAGACACAUAGCUUUCUGGAAGAGGAGGAGGGCUUUGGGGCUCAUUAACAGGAUUCAUAGGAAGUCCUUAGUAAUUGUUAGCAAGCAUAUUGACCAAAUUUCAUGAUCAACCUGAUGAUACAUGGUCCUCAACUUCAUUGCCUGUUAAUGAGGAGCAAAUGGGGCAGUGGUUGCAGGCCAAGUAUCAGAAAGUAGGUCCAGUGAUAGUUACCCAAAUGGUCCCUUGUUUUUUGCUAACCCUUUUCUGGGCGUUUGGAGAGGUGUUUCCUCACCAGUUUGCCAAUUAGCUUCAAGUCCACCCCACUAUAACAAUUAGUACUAAGAUAUAUCCUGAGUGGGCUGAAGGGUGUACCUUCUUAGACAAUAGGUGAAUCAUUAGAACUUUGGCUGUUUUGCUUGGGACAUAUGGUGGCAGGGCACAUCAUGGUUGUUAAGGAACAAGGGCAACAAGUGGUCUAUUUUAUGGCUCAGCUCCUCCUGGCAGUCUGUCAUGCCAGACUUAAUAUCCAUUCAGAGAAAAUAAUAAAGGAUUUUUUUUUUCCAGUGGGUCUUGGUUGCUUUCAGAGAGCAUUGGCAUCUCAGGGAUAUAUUCCUGAGACAAACUCCUGUGGGAAGGGAUAGAAGAGGCAUUAACUAGUAUUUGAUCUUUUACUGUCCUGAAUUGAGUUUACCGUUCUGAUGAAGGCGACCUACUGAAGAAUGAGAAACUGACCCAGAGAAUUCUAGAUAAAUUCUUGCAGUUGGCCCCCCAACCUUGGAAAACUGCUCUACCUUUUAUGUUAAAACUGGGCCAGAACUUAAGAGAUAUUUCUUGGUACUGGUGAAGAUGCUGUCAAUUAAGAUGAACUCCUAAAAAAAAAGAAAAAUGUCAAUGUAAGUCAAGCUAGAGUCAGGCAAAGGACACAAACCCAGUGGCUUCAGUCUGAAGACCAUGUGUCCAUGGUUGCUGAGUCAAAGGGUCCCCAAUGCCAAAACAUUGUCAGAUUUUGCUUUGUUUUGGAGACCAAAAUCAUUGGAAUUUCAUUUAUUUGAGCCCCAAGCAGCUGCUAUACUACUCAAUACUAAAAGUAGAUGUAAAGCCUUGCAUACUGGCAUGGAGCCUCCCACGGCUUUAAGGAGAAAAAUGAUUAGGGAUGGGGCCCAGGACUCCUUAUCUCAAAGGAGGACCAACCACCACAUGUACCCAUCUGAAUAUGCUGGGGGACUUUCUAGGAGAAAGGGGCACAAACUUGUAUGGCUGUGUUGAAUACAGGUGCCCAGUUCACCAUCUUACACAGUCCUGUGGGGGAAGGGUCCGCUCGAUUUCAACUGAUAGGGUUUGGGCAAGGUUCAUAAUAGGAAAGGAAAGUUAACAUGACCUUGUGGGUAUGACCUGUUGAACCAAUUCAAUGGACUGUUGUUCUUUUUGUAUCUGAAUAUAUAGCAGAAAAUGACAUGUUAUAUACUUGAACUUUUCUGCCCUAUAAGUGCUAGAGCCCAACCAGAAAGAGUCCCAUUUAGAUAGGUACUAGUAUCUUUGAGGCCACACAAACCUAAUGAUACCUUUGAGCUACAGAAUAUCCUGUAACUGAUUACUUUGCUGAUUGGAGACCCUGGUAAAAGGAGAUACUCUUCAUCCAGAGGUGCCCUUGGAGUUUUGGAUGCCUGGACCCCUUGACAUGGCUGGCCAGAUACGCGCCUUCUGAAAAACAACUAAAUAUUAGCUACUACUGAUACAGACAGGAGGCAGGGAAAUACUGGGUAGAAGAGGGCAGCGCCCUGACAAAGGCCUCACCCUCAAGCCUGGAAACCCACGGCCCUAAUUGGGAACAGGCAUUCCUGUUUUUGUGCCCAAAUGUUGCCUUUUGGCCUGCCAUGCCCCCUUAUCCUGUACCCAUAUAAACCCUAAACCCCAGGCUCCACAAGCAGAAGAGUGGCAGGGAAGGAGAGAAGAGAAGGAGCAUCUGAAUGUCAAGAGGAGUUUGGCUGGAGAUGGUUGGAGAGGAGAUUGGUUGCAGGACAGCUGAACUCCAGGGGAAGAUCAUCUUCCCACUCCAUCCCCUUUACAGCUCCCCAUCCAUCCCGCUGAAAGCCACUUCCACCACUCCAUUAAAGCCUCAUAUUCACCAUCCUUCAAGUUUGUGUGUGACCUGAUUCUUCCUGCAUGCUGGACAAGGACCCGGGUAUCAAGAGGGCAGGGUGUAAAAGGCUGUCACCCUGACUCGCCAGUGAGCUAGUUUUAACACUUAGCUGUUCACAGACGGCAACUGCUAAAAGACCAUUAAUUGUAACACACUCCUAGAUGCUACUGUGGGGCUGGAGCCCAAAAGCGCUCGCCCCAGGUCCUGCAUCUACCUGUCUGUGUGCUUCCCUUCCCCUAAGGGGUUUGAGCCACACCCCUGUCACAAGUUCAUCGAAGGAGUCGGGCAACUCUCCUGUUUCACUACUGGGCUUCUGUCAAAACUGAACACUUAAGCCAUCUAGCCUGCUGUUCCCUUUUUGGAGUAGAUCAAACAGACCUCAUGACUACUAAAAUGGAAAGGGCCCAACUAGCCUUGCUUGUCAUAUAAAAUCAUUAUAUGUAAUAAUCAUUAAUGCAACAGACCUAGCCUCAAUGACAUCUUGGAUUUACAUGAAAAAGUGGCAGCUAAUCCUUUGGGGGAAAACUUUAUCGUCCAUUCUGUUGCUUGAAACAAAGCCCCUGGCUCAGCACCCUCGUUUCAUAAAGGUUACAUAUAGGGGCUUUAAAAAUACAUUUAGGUGGCAUUUAGGAGAUUCCUCAAAUUGCCUGUUGCUUCUUUCACUGAUAGAUUGGCUAAGCUGAAAACCAGUGCCAUUUCAAUGGACUGCAAUGGCUGUUCAACCUCAGUGCCAGGUAA
Pongo pygmaeus (Bornean orangutan) is the source of this 7524-nucleotide RNA transcript. It is a transcript of the gene named tRNA methyltransferase 11, with no coding region annotated. The record is from RefSeq and is a predicted model, not a curated record. NCBI's taxonomy places the organism in Eukaryota, Metazoa, Chordata, Mammalia, Primates, Hominidae. The transcript has 14 exons.